AAAGGAAUAGACGGGGGCCCGCACAAGUGGUGGAGCAUGUGGUUUAAUUCGAUGCUACGCGAAAAACCUUACCUGGGCUUGACAUCCCGCGCUAUCCUGUGAAAGCAGGAGUUCCCUUCGGGGACGCGGUGACAGGUGCUGCAUGGCUGUCGUCAGCUCGUGUUGUGAGAUGUUGGGUUAAGUCCCGCAACGAGCGCAACCCUUGCCGUUAGUUACCAUCAUUAAGUUGGGCACUCUAACGGGACCGCUAGGCUAUAAGCCAGAGGAAGGUGGGGAUGACGUCAAGUCCUCAUGGCCUUUAUGUCCAGGGCUACACACGUGCUACAAUGGACGGUACAAUCCGUUGCUAACUCGCAAGAGCAUGCUAAUCGUAAAAAACCGUCCUCAAUUCGGAUUGGAGUCUGCAACUCGACUCCAUGAAGCUGGAAUCACUAGUAAUCGUGGAUCAGAACGCCACGGUGAAUACGUUCCCGGGCCUUGUACACACCGCCCGU
RNAcentral lists this ribosomal RNA (494 nucleotides) under uncultured bacterium. RNAcentral describes it as "bacterial SSU rRNA". It matches the Rfam family "Bacterial small subunit ribosomal RNA", at positions 903 to 1397 of the family's 1533-position model. The record is from RNAcentral.